UACGGAGGGGGCUAGCGUUGUUCGGAAUUACUGGGCGUAAAGCGCGCGUAGGCGGCUUUGUAAGUCAGAGGUGAAAGCCUGGAGCUCAACUCCAGAACUGCCUUUGAAACUACAUAGCUAGAAUCAUGGAGAGGUUAGUGGAAUUCCGAGUGUAGAGGUGAAAUUCGUAGAUAUUCGGAAGAACACCAGUGGCGAAGGCGACUAACUGGACAUGUAUUGACGCUGAGGUGCGAAAGCGUGGGGAGCAAACAGG
RNAcentral lists this ribosomal RNA (253 nucleotides) under uncultured bacterium. RNAcentral describes it as "partial 16S ribosomal RNA". It matches the Rfam family "Bacterial small subunit ribosomal RNA", at positions 524 to 776 of the family's 1533-position model. The record is from RNAcentral.